This 192-nucleotide unclassified non-coding RNA is filed under the name uncultured Eurotiales. RNAcentral's name for it is "sequence contains ITS1". Lineage: Eukaryota; Fungi; Ascomycota; Eurotiomycetes; Eurotiales. The record is from RNAcentral.
ACAAGCCGUGAAGGUCGCCCUGGAAAGGGAAUGACCUCUCACCUGGCCACCCUUGCUUACCUUAACCUGUUGCUUUGGUGGGCCCGCCGUAAGGCCGCCGGGGAACUUGAGUUCCCGGGCCCGUGCCCACCGAAGUCUUAUUGAACUCUGCAAGGUCUUUGCUGUCUGAGCGUGAAAGCGCAAACCAUUUUA